GAAACUGCCUAAUAGAAGCAAGGGAAUGUAUAACAAUCUAAUUUUUACACAUCCUUCUAUCAGACCUUAAAAAAGCGGAAAGACGUCAUCGUUGUCAUCAUCCAUAUCAAAAUACUUGAAGCCAAUAUCAUUGUCUGGAUUUGGAUUGAAGUCAGGACUCACGUAGCAUUUCAUCUCAUGGAACAGGUUCAAAUUGUCCACAAGCUUGUGAAAUACAUUGCAUCCACAACACUGGACAAAAACAGUGCCAUCAGUAUAGGCGUGAGGAUUGAUGGCACGAGUAGUUCGUUGGCCACAGACGUUGCAAGUAAAGGCCACACGCAUACGCCUUCGCGGAGAUUUAGUAAAGAGAGACCAAGGGAAGGUGGAAAUCUGGUCAGUAUUGGAUUCAGAAUCAGAACCAGCAGGCACAGGUGGCCCCUCCAUACCCGAGCCAGUAGUCCAGCCUCUUACAUUAGCUGCACUAAGGACCAAACCCAUAGCUGCAUCCUUGGAGAGAGUAGGAUUGUUGAAGAUGGGAACGAUACUGGUGUUGUCAUUCGCAUCAGAUUGAAGAUCGGAUUCAUUUCCAUUAUUUUUGCGUGAAACUGAAAACUUGACAAUUUUACGAGAAGAGAGAUGUUUGGAUUUAGGAGCAAAAACGGAUAGAGAAGGGGUAGUUGUGGCAGAAGACGUCAAAGUUUCCAUGGCUAUCAGUGAAGCUUUGCAG
This 709-nucleotide unclassified non-coding RNA is filed under the name Hevea brasiliensis (rubber tree). Lineage: Eukaryota; Viridiplantae; Streptophyta; Magnoliopsida; Malpighiales; Euphorbiaceae. The record is from RNAcentral.